RNAcentral lists this ribosomal RNA (344 nucleotides) under uncultured fungus. Its description in RNAcentral is "SSU rRNA". It matches the Rfam family "Eukaryotic small subunit ribosomal RNA", at positions 292 to 636 of the family's 1831-position model. The record is from RNAcentral. Lineage: Eukaryota; Fungi.
GGUUCAUUCAAAUUUCUGCCCUAUCAACUUUCGAUGGUAGGAUAGUGGCCUACCAUGGCUUCAACGGGUAACGGGGAAUUAGGGUUCUAUUCCGGAGAAGGAGCCUGAGAAACGGCUACUACAUCCAAGGAAGGCAGCAGGCGCGCAAAUUACCCAAUCCCGACCGGGGAGGUAGUGACAAUAAAUACUGAUACAGGGCUCUUUUGAGUCUUGUAAUUGGAAUGAGUACAAUUUAAAUCCCUUAACGAGGAACAAUUGGAGGGCAAGUCUGGUGCCAGCAGCCGCGGUAAUUCCAGCUCCAAUAGCGUAUAUUAAAGUUGUUGCAGUUAAAAAGCUCGUAGUUG